This 377-nucleotide ribosomal RNA is filed under the name uncultured bacterium. RNAcentral's name for it is "bacterial SSU rRNA". It matches the Rfam family "Bacterial small subunit ribosomal RNA", at positions 523 to 898 of the family's 1533-position model. The record is from RNAcentral.
AUACGGAGGGUGCAAGCGUUGUUCGGAAUUAUUGGGCGUAAAGCGCGUGUAGGCGGUCUUUUAAGUCUGAUGUGAAAGCCCCGGGCUCAACCUGGGAAGUGCAUUGGAAACUGGGAGACUUGAGUACGGGAGAGGAGAGUGGAAUUCCUAGUGUAGGAGUGAAAUCCGUAGAUAUUAGGAGGAACACCGGUGGCGAAGGCGGCUUUCUGGACGAUAACUGACGCUGAGGCGCGAAAGCGUGGGGAGCAAACAGGAUUAGAUACCCUGGUAGUCCACGCUGUAAACUAUGAGUACUAGGUGUUGCGGGUAUUGACCCCUGCAGUGCCGUAGCUAACGCAUUAAGUACUCCGCCUGGGAAGUACGGUCGCAAGACUAAA